GUCUUUUUGAUAAUAAUUUAAAGUUUGGCCUGCCCAAUGAUAGUAUUUAAUGGCCGCAGUAUUUUGACUGUGCAAAGGUAGCAUAAUCAUUAGUUUUUUAAUUGAAAGCUUGUAUGAAAGGUUUGAUGAGAAAAUUUCUGUCUCAAUUUAAAGUUAAUAGAAAUUUAUUUUUAAGUUAAAAAGCUUAAAUAAUUAUAGAAGACGAGAAGACCCUAUAGAGUUUGAUAUUUCUAUUAGUUAAUUAAUUUUAGUAUUUUAAGUUUAACUAAUAAUUUUAUUUAAUUGGGGCGAUUUAAAAAUUAAUUUAACUUUUUUUAUAAAAAAUCAUUUAUUUAUGAAUAGUUGAUCCUUAUUUAAAAGAUUAAAAGAAUAAAUUACCUUAGGGAUAACAGCGUUAUUUUUUUUGAGAGUUCUAAUCGAAAAAAAAGUUUGCGACCUCGAUGUUGGAUUAAAAUAAAGUAUAGGUGUAGAGGCUUAUAUUUUGGGUCUGUUCGACCUUUAAAAUUUUACAUGAUCUGAGUUUAAACCGGUGUAAG
This 536-nucleotide ribosomal RNA is filed under the name Cryptorhynchinae gen. sp. ARC4864. Its description in RNAcentral is "partial 16S large subunit ribosomal RNA". It matches the Rfam family "Bacterial large subunit ribosomal RNA", at positions 1819 to 2625 of the family's 2925-position model. The record is from RNAcentral. Lineage: Eukaryota; Metazoa; Arthropoda; Insecta; Coleoptera; Curculionidae.